UGCAUCGAUGAAGAACGCAGCGAAAUGCGAUACGUAAUGUGAAUUGCAAAUUCAGUGAAUCAUCGAGUCUUUGAACGCACAUUGCGCCCCCUGGUAUUCCGGGGGGCAUGCCUGUCCGAGCGUCAUUGCUGCCCUCAAGCACGGCUUGUGUGUUGGGCCCCGUCCUCCGAUUCCGGGGGACGGGCCCGAAAGGCAGCGGCGGCACCGCGUCCGGUCCUCGAGCGUAUGGGGCUUUGUCACCCGCUCUGUAGGCCCGGCCGGCGCUUGCCGAUCAACCCAAAUUUUUAUCCAGGUUGACCUCGGAUCAGGUAGGGAUACCCGCUGAACUUAAGCAUAUCAAUAAGCGGAGGAA
This 352-nucleotide ribosomal RNA is filed under the name Penicillium chrysogenum. Its description in RNAcentral is "eukaryotic LSU rRNA". The stretch from base 1 to 125 matches the Rfam family "5.8S ribosomal RNA", at positions 29 to 154 of the family's 154-position model. Lineage: Eukaryota; Fungi; Ascomycota; Eurotiomycetes; Eurotiales; Aspergillaceae. The record is from RNAcentral.